AGCGGCAUACCAAGUAAGAAACAUCGGGAGAUAUACGCCUUUUUGUUGAAUGGAAUACUCCAGAAGAACCAGCAUCGCUGGCAGGACCUUCAGAGGCAAACGAAACUACAAGAUUACAAUGUUAAGCAUGGAAGACUCCCUGUGGGGGACGAAGAAUUAUCGGACACGAAUGGCGUAGGAGCUGAUAAGAGAUUUCGUUCUCUUUUAUCGCCAAAUGGAAGGACACACCCUGAAGAAUUUACUUUAAGUGAAGGUCAGAUCAAAUCCAGGAGAACGUGGAGUAAUUCUUGCAGUAAAAACGCGGCGAGGCGAUGCAAGAGGGCCUGUAUCCGCGCCUUUAAAAACGUAUGCUACACAUACAAGUGCGCGAGACGCGUCAAAAGACGUUACCGAAGGGAAUGCAGAAAGACGUGCAGAAAUAAAUUUGUAUACGAUAAAUAUUAUAGUGAAGGAUAUUCCAGCGAUGAUUCUUAUAGCGAAUAAAAAUUAAAUGUAAUUUUCGUUGUGAAGUUACUUUAUUAGACAUGUUACAUUUUCGUUUUUGAAGUUAUACUUCUUUAGGCGCGUUAUGAAAAAUUGAUGAGAGUGAAAUUUUACGAUGCGCGCGCACCGUGACACAAAAUUAACAGAAUGAAGUUGCCCACUAAAUCGCUCAUUACAAUACGACCGACGUAACUUGGCGAGUCUGAAUAUAGCCGGCAGGUGAACUUUCCGAACCGUACCGAGAAUUACCGAAUUUAUACGAUGUCAAGAAAAGGGAUGUCCAAUAUGCGUGUUUGAGGAUGUUGUUUAAUCGAUUUUUUUUCAAAUUGAUUAAAAUUUAAAUAAAAAAAAGAAAUAAAUUUAAUAAAAAUAAA
This is a long non-coding RNA of Bombyx mori (domestic silkworm), 857 nucleotides long. RefSeq lists it as uncharacterized. NCBI's taxonomy places the organism in Eukaryota, Metazoa, Arthropoda, Insecta, Lepidoptera, Bombycidae. The transcript has 2 exons. The record is from RefSeq and is a predicted model, not a curated record.